AUUUCACUUACACAUGUACACACACACCUCACUUACACAUGUACACACACAUACACUUCACUUACACAUAUACACAUUACUUGUACAAACAAACAUAAACAAACAGCUGCCAGAUUACAAGUCCAGUUAAGCUUUGUAGUAAAAAUCAUAUUUAUAAACAAUUUAGUCUAAAGACAAUCUACUUAACUAUGAUAUGUUGUUGUUUUGUAUUUAUUGAUGAUGUUAUUGUUGUUAAUGAGAUUCUAGUCAAACUUUCUGUACAUGGCUAACUACACAAUUACAGUCGUGUACCAAGGUACUGUGUGUGAUGUUGUAAGGUGAUGUUAAAACCAAAGGAUACAAUGUACAGCAGAACAAAACGUCACGCUGAACAUACCUGUGGUCAGCUGAACAUACCUGUAAUCAGCUGAACAUACCUGUGAUCAGCUGAACAUACCUGUGAUCAGCUGUACUUGUGAUAAGCAAUUUUCAAUUCUCAUAUCAUUUUUAAGGAACAACAUAUAUAGUUUCUGUUGUUCGUUAUUUCUAGAGCUCAAUAUCCACGCCUGAUUUUAGCUUAUGAACAAAAGAUGAUGUGACAUAGGUCACAGAUAUAAAGUGCUAUGAAGAUUUGACUAUUUGCUUUCAGAUUAAAUGUUAGUGACCUAUCCGACCAUACUGUGUACAAUUUAUUUACAUGUACAUCAAAGGAUUCCAUUUGUUCAUCAGAUAAUGAUCAAAGGAUCACGGCUACCAUUGUAAUGUACCAUUGAGAGGCUGUCCUUGAAAUUGAAUAAAAAAUAUAUUAACUGAAUUAUUUGAAGGAAUCACCAUUGUACUUGUGUUUGAAAUAUCACCUUUAAAAUUGUUUGUCCCUUUUUAAGAUUUAGUACAUACAUUGUACUUCAAAUACCAAUUUGCAUAACUUUUCCAGGAUUUUGAGAUACUAUGUAAAAUUUGGUAGUAUUACUUUCAAAAAAAUAUAUGAUCAUCUUCAUUCAUUAAAGGGACAUUCUUUCGUUUGGACAUCAGAAACAUGCACAGCUUCUGUUGAUGAGUGUCUGUGCCUACAUGUAAUGAAAUUAAAACCAAAAUGUACAAGAAAAAGGCGUAUCAUAUACAAAUAUCAUAUGUCUUUUCGGUAAUUAUUGAUACUUUGGGUAGAAUUAAGAAUUUUCAGGACUUAAUACUCAAAGAACUUUGGUUUAUCUUGAGAGUAAACUGCUAUAUUAAUGUAAAGAUUAUAACUUUUACUACCUGGAAAAAAUUACAUAUUUUCCAGAAAAUCUAAUUUUGACGACCUUAACUUUUUUCUAAUGAAGGAAUACCCAUUCAAAUAUGAUGUGAAUUUUCAGUUUUGAUGUCUUUCCUUCCUAGAAGAGGUUCCUUCAUUCAGACCUAAUUUUUUCUCCCGAUACAAUUCUCUAAAAGGUGUUUUAUUAUCGUAUUUAAUUUUGAUAUAAACAUAUGUAAUUGUAAUACCAUUGGAGUUGUAUUUCUCAAGGUUGUCAUUCAUUUUAUCAUGAUAGGUAAAAAUUUAACAAUCUCCAAAUCUAAAUAUUUUAAGGUGUCUUCAAAGAAUUCCAAGGCAAAUUAUUUUUGUUUCCAGAAUGAUUUUGUUCUUUCAAUUUGUUUUCAUUCAAAGGAAUUUCAAAUCUCAACUUAGAUAGAUCAUCUAGUCCAAUACAGGUCCUCUGGGCCUCUUGUUGAUACAUGCCCACUGUACCCUCUUUUUAACUCGGGUCUUAACUUUGGUCAUCUAGGCCUAUUGUCUGUUACAGGACCUCUGGGCCUUUUAUUUAGGUCCUCUUAUGCCUCAUGUCAGAUACAUGCCCAUUGUACCUCUUAUUUAACACAUGUCCUCUGAGCUUCAUGUAGGAUAAAUUGACACAAGGAACUUUAGUAAAAUCUUGACUACAUGUUAUCAAAGAUAUUGUUUAGAUUGAUGCUACAUGUUAAUGUUAUUUUGUUGGUAUGAAUGCUUUGUGUAAACAGAUUUUUGAAACCUGAAAUAUUUUAUAGCCAUGUUAUAGGUCAUUUAAAUAAUACAGUGUAUAGGAAACCAGGACUUCUCUCUCCACAACAUUUAAUAGGGUUAUCUGGGACAAUUGACAUUGAAAGGUUUCUCUAAACUUGACCAGGUUUCAUUAGUUUGCCUGCUGCCAUAUAAGCAUUAAAAGUGCUGCAAGUGUUUUAUGUGGUAUCUUACUGACGACACAGAGAGGGUUUGAAAAUGAAACAAUUUACUUUAGAAGAACAAACAAUGUUUAAACAAAUGUGUACACAAUAAUAAUAUCAAUAUAAACCUUCAUGUGUUGCUUAUUUUUGAUUAUUGCAUCUUUAUGCGCCCAUUAAAACUUGGCGGGAGUAUUA
This is a long non-coding RNA of Pecten maximus, 2352 nucleotides long. RefSeq lists it as uncharacterized. The transcript is spliced from 2 exons. The record is from RefSeq and is a predicted model, not a curated record. Lineage: Eukaryota; Metazoa; Mollusca; Bivalvia; Pectinida; Pectinidae.